CGUGUAGGCGGUUUUUUAAGUCUGAUGUGAAAGCCCCGGGCUCAACCUGGGAAGUGCAUUGGAAACUGGGAGACUUGAAUACGGGAGAGGGUAGUGGAAUUCCUGGUGUAGGAGUGAAAUCCGUAGAUAUCAGGAGGAACACCGGUGGCGAAGGCGGCUGCCUGGACCGAUAUUGACGCUGAGACGCGAAAGCGUGGGUAGCAAACAGGAUUAGAUACCCUGGUAGUCCACGCCGUAAACGAUGAGUACUAGGUGUCGCGGGUAUUGACCCCUGCGGUGCCGCAGCUAACGCAUUAAGUACUCCGCCUGGGAAGUACGGCCGCAAGGCUAAA
Molecule: ribosomal RNA, 332 nt
Filed under: uncultured bacterium
Lineage: Bacteria
Description: bacterial SSU rRNA
Rfam family: Bacterial small subunit ribosomal RNA
Source: RNAcentral